This 72-nucleotide transfer RNA is filed under the name Camelus bactrianus (Bactrian camel). It matches the Rfam family "tRNA". From Rfam's summary of the family: Transfer RNA (tRNA) molecules are approximately 80 nucleotides in length. The record is from Rfam by way of RNAcentral. RNAcentral also lists the same sequence under 2 other names. Lineage: Eukaryota; Metazoa; Chordata; Mammalia; Artiodactyla; Camelidae.
AGGGGUAUAACUCAGUGGUAGAGCACCUGCUUGGCUUGCACAAGGUCCUGGGUUCAAUCCCCAGUAUCUCCG